AACGAACGCUGGCGGCAGGCCUCAAACAUGCAAGUCUAGGGGGUGUAGCAAUACAUCACCGGCGGACGGGUGCGUAACACGUGGGAAUGUACCUAUUGGUUCGGAACAACGCAGGGAAACUUGCGCUAAUACCGAAUGUGCCCUUCGGGGGAAAGAUUUAUCGCCAAUGGAUCAGCCCGCGUUCGAUUAGCUAGUUGGUGAGGUAAUGGCUCACCAAGGCGACGAUCGAAGCUGUUCUGAGAGGAAGAUCAGCCACACUGGGACUGAGACACGGCCCAGACUCCUACGGGAGGCAGCAGUUGGGAAUCUUGGACAAUGGGGGAAACCCUGAUCCAGCCAUGCCGCGUG
Molecule: ribosomal RNA, 348 nt
Filed under: uncultured bacterium
Lineage: Bacteria
Description: bacterial SSU rRNA
Rfam family: Bacterial small subunit ribosomal RNA
Source: RNAcentral